Molecule: unclassified non-coding RNA, 335 nt
Filed under: soil metagenome
Description: partial contains 5.8S ribosomal RNA, internal transcribed spacer 2, and large subunit ribosomal RNA
Rfam family: 5.8S ribosomal RNA (bases 1-120)
Source: RNAcentral
GAUGAAGAACGCAGCGAAAUGCGAUAAGUAGUGUGAAUUGCAGAAUUCAGUGAAUCAUCGAAUCUUUGAACGCACAUUGCGCCCUUUGGUAUUCCUUAGGGCAUGCCUGUUCGAGCGUCAUUUGAAACCUCAAGCUCAGCUUGGUGUUGGGUGUCUGUCCCCGCCUCCGCGGGGACUCGCCUCAAAAUCAUUGGCGGCCGGUACGUUGGCUUCGAGCGCAGCAGAAACGCGAACUCGAGGCCCGGCGGAUCGGCGACCAGAAGUCUCUUCUUCACAGUUUGACCUCGGAUCAGGUAGGGAUACCCGCUGAACUUAAGCAUAUCAAUAGCGGAGGA